Molecule: ribosomal RNA, 229 nt
Filed under: Klebsiella pneumoniae
Lineage: Bacteria; Pseudomonadati; Pseudomonadota; Gammaproteobacteria; Enterobacterales; Enterobacteriaceae
Description: partial 23S ribosomal RNA
Rfam family: Bacterial large subunit ribosomal RNA
Source: RNAcentral
GGUGUGACUGCGUACCUUUUGUAUAAUGGGUCAGCGACUUAUAUUCUGUAGCAAGGUUAACCGUAUAGGGGAGCCGCAGGGAAACCGAGUCUUAACUGGGCGUUAAGUUGCAGGGUAUAGACCCGAAACCCGGUGAUCUAGCCAUGGGCAGGUUGAAGGUUGGGUAACACUAACUGGAGGACCGAACCGACUAAUGUUGAAAAAUUAGCGGAUGACUUGUGGCUGGGGG